RNAcentral lists this long non-coding RNA (1785 nucleotides) under Cricetulus griseus (Chinese hamster). Its description in RNAcentral is "lncRNA (ENSCGRG00015029903.1)". The record is from RNAcentral. Lineage: Eukaryota; Metazoa; Chordata; Mammalia; Rodentia; Cricetidae.
GAGCGAGCGCCGGUCCUGCGCGCGUGCGGCGUGGCGCUCCGGCGCCGCUCGCUGCUCCGGUGCCGCGCAGAGCCGAGCGGCGCCCGCGGGGUGUGCGCGCUGCAGGGCGGACCACUGCUGCCCGGGCCCGCGGGGGUGGCGGCUGGGGACGACGGUCGCCCUCUGCCGCGGCGGGUGCGGGUGCCUGGACUCUGGGGAAGCCGCGGCCACUGCCCCGGGCCGGCAGUGCACGAGCCCGGCCGCCGGCUGCCCACCCUGUCCCCUGCACACGUACCGAGCGGUCGCUGCGACCCGACGCCCGGCGCAUCUUCCGCGGGUGGCGGGUGUGGGCGGCGGGCCCGCGGGGUGGUGCGGCCGGGGAAGGGAGGCUGCACCUUCUGUCCGGGUCCCCCGGGUUGCUUGCGGGCGGCGCCGCGGCCCAGGCGGUGAUGCGGGACGACUGAGGGCGAUCAUCUGGGAGGACGCCGUCCCCUGCCCCACCGGCGCGGUGGUAUCUCCCUUAAAGAAGCCGGAACCUCAUUGUUCCCGGCGAUGGAGAAACUGAGGCAUAUAGAGGUGAAAGACCUGCCAAGAACCACACAAAAUUGAUCAAGUGACAAAUUGGAGUUACAGCUGCGGACACCAAACCCUGGGAGGAGCGUCAGCAAUUGCCUGACGCUCCUCCCAGAACACUCCGUUCUCAUGGUCUCAUCACAGCCGUGGCUUUGGGCUUCAGGGGACAGUUCAUCUCUGCUGCUUUUGGCAUCCACCAGGGCUGAGGCUGGGAACCAGCAGAGGAGACUUGCUUUCAUAUGACAGGCAGUCCAUGCCUGGACUCGGCUGGCACUGGCAGCUGGGACAUCUGAGGGGGACCCUCCACACGCUCACCUUGUAGUUCUUGGGUUUCGGAUUCCGAGAUGCCGUCUGCCUUUUCUUCCCCAGCCCUCAGUCUUCUGUACAGCUGUUCUAUUUUGGUUUUGAGACAGGGUUUCAUGUAGCCCAGGUUGGCCCCUAACUUGCUAUGUAGUUGAGGGUAACCCUUAACUCCCGAUCUUCCUGCCUUCACCUCCCAAGUGCUGGGAUAACAGACAUGCUUUGCCAUACCCAGCUUCCUGUGUGUUUUACAAGUAAUAUUUUAUGGACAAAGUCCAGGUUGCCUUACUGUGCCUAUUCUACGACACACACUAGGGAACUAACAGACUGUACUGAGAAAAUUUUUCUUCCUACUAGAUCUCUCUCUUAUGAAAAACCAUGGACCCCAGUUUGUGUUGGCGUACUACUUCUGGUCACCGGGCCUUCCCUGGAGCGUGGUCAAUAUACCAGGUGUAUCUGCUGAAGAAAACUGACUUCCCUCUCUCAGAACCAGCAGCUCUCAAAGGCCAAUCAUUCCUCAUAGCUCCUCACUCAUGGUGGGACUUCAUGGCCACCUCUUCCCCCACACUGGGAUUCUGUCUGGCUUGAGCUUGUGGAGGUCCUGGGCCUGUUCUCACAGUCUGUGCCUUCAUCUGUGCCUUGGUCAGCUACAUCUGGGAACAGUUUCCUUAUCCUCACUCACUACCUCUGACUCUCUUACAUUGACAGAUCCCUGAGCCCCGACGGAAGGGCUGUGGUAUAGAUAUCCCAUUUAGAGUCACUACUGUAGUGACCAUUGUGGGUUUCUAUAUUGAUUAUCAUCUACUGCAAGAAGCUUUUCUGAUGAGAGUCAAGCAAUGUACUGCUCUAUGGGUCCAGUGGUCAGUCGCUAUGAAUUAUUUUAUCGCUAUGGUAUCUCAGCAGGAUAAUAAUAGUGGGUUUUCUCCCAGGGCC